CUUAACACAUGCAAGUCGAACGGUAACAGGAAGCAGCUUGCUGCUUUGCUGACGAGUGGCGGACGGGUGAGUAAUGUCUGGGAAACUGCCUGAUGGAGGGGGAUAACUACUGGAAACGGUAGCUAAUACCGCAUAACGUCGCAAGACCAAAGAGGGGGACCUUCGGGCCUCUUGCCAUCGGAUGUGCCCAGAUGGGAUUAGCUAGUAGGUGGGGUAACGGCUCACCUAGGCGACGAUCCCUAGCUGGUCUGAGAGGAUGACCAGCCACACUGGAACUGAGACACGGUCCAGACUCCUACGGGAGGCAGCAGUGGGGAAUAUUGCACAAUGGGCGCAAGCCUGAUGCAGCCAUGCCGCGUGUAUGAAGAAGGCCUUCGGGUUGUAAAGUACUUUCAGCGGGGAGGAAGGCGAUAAGGUUAAUAACCUUGUCGAUUGACGUUACCCGCAGAAGAAGCACCGGCUAACUCCGUGCCAGCAGCCGCGGUAAUACGGAGGGUGCAAGCGUUAAUCGGAAUUACUGGGCGUAAAGCGCACGCAGGCGGUCUGUCAAGUCGGAUGUGAAAUCCCCGGGCUCAACCUGGGAACUGCAUUCGAAACUGGCAGGCUAGAGUCUUGUAGAGGGGGGUAGAAUUCCAGGUGUAGCGGUGAAAUGCGUAGAGAUCUGGAGGAAUACCGGUGGCGAAGGCGGCCCCCUGGACAAAGACUGACGCUCAGGUGCGAAA
This 722-nucleotide ribosomal RNA is filed under the name Enterobacter hormaechei. RNAcentral's name for it is "bacterial SSU rRNA". It matches the Rfam family "Bacterial small subunit ribosomal RNA", at positions 47 to 758 of the family's 1533-position model. The record is from RNAcentral. Lineage: Bacteria; Pseudomonadati; Pseudomonadota; Gammaproteobacteria; Enterobacterales; Enterobacteriaceae.